RNAcentral lists this unclassified non-coding RNA (226 nucleotides) under uncultured Chloroflexota bacterium. Its description in RNAcentral is "uncultured Chloroflexi bacterium contains 16S-23S intergenic spacer region". The record is from RNAcentral. Lineage: Bacteria; Bacillati; Chloroflexota.
UCCGGUUUGUCACCGGCUGUCCCGUGCAUGUCAAGCCUUGGUAAGGUUCUUCGCGUAGCUUCGAAUUAAACCGCACGCUCCGCUGCUUGUGCGGGCCCCCGUCAAUUCCUUUGAGUUUUAGCCUUGCGGCCGUAGUCCCCAGGCGGAGCACUUAUCGCGUUGGCUGCGCUACCGAGGGGGUCGAUACCCCCGACAGCUAGUGCUCAUCGUUUACGGCGUGGACUAC